AGUGUAGUUAUAGAUUACGAAGUUAAAAAAGCAAUACAUGAUUUGGUCCAAGGCCACUACAAAGAACCAUGGACCGGAUGGGGAAAAGUGAUUAGAGAUGUGAGACAGAGAAUGUUCACAGCUUUUAGGUCACAGCAUGAGUCUAUGAUAUUAUGUCAUUUCAACCAUGAGGCGAGUGAGUGGUUGAAAAAACAUUUGUACCUUGCUCGCACUCUUUACAAGGCUCCACUUGAGUGGAUGACCCCUUCGGUUUGGGAGAGUUUGCAAAAAUAUUGGGGGUCGGAAGAGUUCAAGAAAAUAAGUGAGCAAAACAAAAAGAACAAGGCAAUAAAUGGAAGUUCUUCGAUUGUAAUCUAUCGUGGUGGAUCUGUCAGCACUGCUGUACAC
Dioscorea cayenensis subsp. rotundata (Guinea yam) is the source of this 387-nucleotide long non-coding RNA. RefSeq lists it as uncharacterized. The record is from RefSeq and is a predicted model, not a curated record. NCBI's taxonomy places the organism in Eukaryota, Viridiplantae, Streptophyta, Magnoliopsida, Dioscoreales, Dioscoreaceae. The transcript has 3 exons.